Molecule: long non-coding RNA, 227 nt
Filed under: Bos taurus (domestic cattle)
Lineage: Eukaryota; Metazoa; Chordata; Mammalia; Artiodactyla; Bovidae
Description: long non-coding RNA NONBTAT004834
Source: RNAcentral
GUUUCAUAAUGCUCCCCCACUACACAGACACUGUCAUCUCCUGUAUUUGUAGACUUAAUGAAAAUGAACCUUUGUUUUUUCUUCACUCAAAUCUGAAGUUAAUUUGAGUACAGUCGAAAUAGUUUUUUCUGUCUGUGAAGGAAGUUGCUGUUUAAAGCUUGUUUGAUUUUUUUGAUAGGUAGUAUCACGUAAUUCUGGGUUUAACAGUUACGCAGUAUUUUCUUUUA